This 62-nucleotide transfer RNA is filed under the name Attagenus augustatus augustatus. RNAcentral describes it as "tRNA-His". Lineage: Eukaryota; Metazoa; Arthropoda; Insecta; Coleoptera; Dermestidae. The record is from RNAcentral.
GCUUAAAUAGUUUAAUAAAAAUGUUAGGGUGUGGAUCUGAUGAUGUCUUCUGACUUUAGGCA